Long non-coding RNA from Gasterosteus aculeatus aculeatus (three-spined stickleback), 1055 nucleotides. Lineage: Eukaryota; Metazoa; Chordata; Actinopteri; Perciformes; Gasterosteidae. The record is from Ensembl.
GCCAGCUAACCACGUGGUGGUGUGAUCAACAGAGGUGUGCUAGCAUGGCAUUCAACGCGGAGACAACUAAUCAUGAAGAUUCAGGACCAGCCCUGGACCAACAGGUCCAGAACGGAGCCAACGGGCGUCAUUAUCUCGACACAAUGUGACAUGCUGUGUCCUCUACGCUGAUCCCUGCGAUGUGAAGCAACGUGAGUGGACAUGAAUAUGAAAGCUCCCUUCAAAGCCACUGGGCGCCAAAUCUAAAGGACAGGAUUAAUAUCCUGGCUGGUGAAGACACUUCCAACACCGAGGCACCGGUAAACACAGUCAUUUUUGUUAUUUUAAUGGAAACUUUUAUAAAACGAGCAAUGUGAAUGAAUGAGAGGUCGAUCAAGGAGACCUGGGACGUUUUCCGACGACGGACAAAUCAACGUCCAUCUGAUCAUCAACAAACGUUUAGUUUUAGGCAACAAUGCUGUUUGUCUGUUGCAUCGGAACUAUCGUCUAUUCUUGUUCACUAUUGACUAUUUUCUUCAGGCUUCUGAAAAGCGAUACACAACAUUUGGUGGAUACAACUGUUUUCUGCUAUUUCUCUACUAUUUGUAAUGUCUCUGUUUCCUUCUUCCGCUCUGUUUCCUGACGGUUUAAUAGGAUCCGUGACCCACAGGGCCGCUCGUCUCCGGGUGACUGAGAUCUCUUCAUUUCACGCAGCGACACACCAGUAAAGUUCAGGUCAACGUUGGUAAAACACAGUAAAGAAAACACAAACGUCUCCGUCGGCUCUGCAGCUCGUACAAAACAUGUAGUCCAAAAGUUUUAUUGUGCUUUAAAUGUUCAAAUCAUUGGUAAAUAUGUAGAGUGAUUCUCGACGGUCUGCAGCUGGUCCGGGUCUCUACUUAAAGAAGCCGCCGAGGGCCCCCAUCACUGCGUUGGCCCCUGAGGAACAAAGCCAAUGUUAAGAAAAGUUAAGACUGAAGCCUGGAAACAUCUACGAUGUGAUGAUGACGAUGAACCAACAAAAAUAUGAAUAUAUACAUAUGCAGAUAUAGAAAUGUGUAUUUAAUUAUAUAAAC